UACGUAGGGUGCGAGCGUUAAUCGGAAUUACUGGGCGUAAAGCGUGCGCAGGCGGUUUUGUAAGACAGAGGGGAAAUCCCCGGGCUCAACCUGGGAACUGCCUUUGUGACUGCAAGGCUUGAGUGCGGCAGAGGGGGAUGGAAUUCCGCGUGUAGCAGUGAAAUGCGUAGAUAUGCGGAGGAACACCGAUGGCGAAGGCAAUCCCCUGGGCCUGCACUGACGCUCAUGCACGAAAGCGUGGGGAGCAAACAGG
RNAcentral lists this ribosomal RNA (253 nucleotides) under uncultured bacterium. RNAcentral describes it as "partial 16S ribosomal RNA". It matches the Rfam family "Bacterial small subunit ribosomal RNA", at positions 524 to 776 of the family's 1533-position model. The record is from RNAcentral.